UACGAAGGGUGCAAGCGUUACUCGGAAUUACUGGGCGUAAAGCGUGCGUAGGUGGUUCGUUAAGUCUGAUGUGAAAGCCCUGGGCUCAACCUGGGAAUGGCAUUGGAAACUGGCGAUCUAGAGUGCGGUAGAGGGUAGUGGAAUUCCCGGUGUAGCAGUGAAAUGCGUAGAGAUCGGGAGGAACAUCUGUGGCGAAGGCGGUUGCCUGGAGCUUUGCUGACGCUGAGGCGCGAAAGCGUGGGGAGCGAUCCGG
Molecule: ribosomal RNA, 253 nt
Filed under: uncultured bacterium
Lineage: Bacteria
Description: partial 16S ribosomal RNA
Rfam family: Bacterial small subunit ribosomal RNA
Source: RNAcentral